This is a long non-coding RNA of Magnolia sinica, 851 nucleotides long. RefSeq lists it as uncharacterized. The record is from RefSeq and is a predicted model, not a curated record. The transcript has 3 exons. Lineage: Eukaryota; Viridiplantae; Streptophyta; Magnoliopsida; Magnoliales; Magnoliaceae.
UCUUGUGGAUCUUUAGCCAGACAUGGGGCUGACUUAAUAUGAGAUAAUAUGACAAAUAUUAAUAUGCAAAAAUUUUAGCUAUGGACCUGCAUGAAGAUGGGUGGCAAAGUAUAUCACCAUUUGAAGGGGCAGUUAGAGGGCGAUAUAGGCAGAUGUGGGGCUGUAUCAUAUUAGUGAUUGAAGCCUGUUACUGAUAUUUAAAACCUUAUUUUAGGGUCAGCUAGAACUCAACCCCAAGAAUCAGGACCGUCUAUACCAUGAGUUCAAAGAAGUUUGUGGGCUGCAAAAGAUCACAGAGGAACAUCUGUCACAAUUGCAUUGGACUGCAAUAGAGAUUCUUCCAUUUCCUAUAUCGAAAUUUAUCUUAAACAAAGUAAUUCAGCUGCCACCCCACAUUGAAUUACUAGUUGCAGCGAUCACACAAAUCAAAGAACCUGACAGCAUAUUUGGGAUCAUCCAAUCACACAAGGUGAAUUGUUUUAUCAUAGUUGCAUGAAUUUUGUUUUGGUUUUGUACUGCUACCCCACAUUAUUUCUUCAAAAUGUUAGCAAGUAUGAACAGCUAGGAGGCAGGAGCAGGAGCAAAAAUCAAAACGCAAUUCAAAGUGACAGUGGCACCUGGGUAGAAAAUUUUGCAGCCGAGGUUGUGCAGUUCUUAUGCUGUUGUAUGCAUUCAGAUGUGUGGGCGUUGUCCCUUGGAAACAACUACACAGCUCACCAAAGAUCGACAGAAGAAACGAGUCCCUUGGAAACAAUGGCAAUCAUUGGCAACAAGGAGAUCAUUGACAUUAACCAAGGUAUGUUAGUUGCUUAGACUGGUGUUUAAAAAAAAAAAAAAAAAACUAGGAUGCA